CGUGAUCGGGCAGUCAUGGAGUUCUCCUUCGCGUGCGUUCUGGGACCAUCGCUCUCUCCUGAGCCCUAAUUCCUCGUUGCGCUCUCUGCUUCACAUCCCAAAUCGACUCCGGCCACCUCCGCCUCAGCUACGCGCGCCCUCGCCGCCACAGCCACCUCCGAUCUACGCGCACUCGCGGCCAAUGCCGCCUCUGGCACCGCGCCACCUCGCCGCCUCCGCUCUGCGCGUACGGCCGCACGACUGGAAGGGCGCAAACUCCUCUCCUGUUUCUCACCCACCAUCGACCCAACCUGAACCCCCGCCCCCCCUCCCCCCGGCGCCGGUAAGCACCUAACUCUGGCGGUUCUCGCUGCUAUUGAGUUGAUGCCACAAUGUCGUAGGAAUUCGUCGAUUUGGUUGAACCGUUCGCUGUUGGACGGGCUUGGUCGGUGUCGCUUGCUGAUUGAACUCUUGCAGGCGGAGUUUGAUAUUUAGCGAAAGUAGAUGUCCAGUUAUUGAUCGACUGAUUGAUUUGUUUGGAGUCCCCGUCGAACGAAUUAUCCGCUGGUUGCUUGCUUGCUUGAUUCCCUUGCUCCAGCUAAGGUUUGUUUACACUGCCAUUGGUCAAGAUCUCCGGAGAUGUUGAUCAAGCCGGAGGAGUUGGGGCAAAACCUUUUCACACCCUGCUUUCCAAUAAAUCCCAACUGAUAAACCGUUGCUAUGUGUCCUCUUUAUUGAAAAAUCUACUUCACUGACAGUUUGCUUGAAACAUCAUUUUGAAGCUAACAGUAUAUGCAGGUACUUCUGGUGUAGGAUUAUGUAUGUUAUUAGUUCAGAUUAGAUAUAAAUCGAUCAAGACAUGUUUGAACUUUGAAACAAAUGUCAAAUGUCAAAUGUGAAAUGCUGGGGUACAUUCUUCUUCUGCCCUGGCCCAAGAGAAAAAGUAGUUUGAUCUAACAAAUUUUCUUCCAGGUGAUGAAGGAAUACACGUUCUGUAACUUAUCAGAAGGUUCUUACUGCUCGCUUUUUCUAUCUUCUUUCAGUUCAAAGGCACUUCUGAGUAACGAGAGUUCAAGUUAUCCCACCACCACUUCGAACACUGCCACCCCACCGCCACCACCGUGAAUGCUCCUACUUCUCACCCGCCACCACGAAGGGAAACAAAACUUACUAAGAUACAUAUUGGAGAACAGCUCCGUGGUGAUCUCCAUGGACGACACCCAUGUCCUCGCCACCCUCGCUGCCAGAUAAUAUAAUUGUGGUAAAAUCUUUCUUUGGAGCUCCUGAUUCUUUUUCUCUGUGUUAAAUUGUGCAGGUUAGGAGGGGCUAUCUGCCUAAAGAUUUUAAUGUUCCAAAGUCUCCAGAAAGAAUAUUGUUUUGUGGUCGGUGUCGUGAUACGGAAGAUAUGAUAAUGGUAACUUGACAAUGAAUCCAAAUUGACAUUCUUAAGUGUUCAUGUGCCUAUAACGAAGACAUUUGUAGUGAAAGGAUUCGAAGGCAAAAUUUACCUGUUCCAAAACUUUUCAA
Molecule: long non-coding RNA, 1506 nt
Organism: Phragmites australis (common reed)
Lineage: Eukaryota; Viridiplantae; Streptophyta; Magnoliopsida; Poales; Poaceae
Exons: 2
Source: RefSeq, a predicted model, not a curated record